UUGAUCCUGGCUCAGAAUCAACGCUGGCGGCGUGCCUAACACAUGCAAGUCGAACGAGAAAGUGGAGCAAUCCAUGAGUAAAGUGGCGACCGGGUGAGUUACACGUGACCAAUCUACCCUUGAGUGGGGGAUAACCUCGGGAAACCGGGUCUAAUACCGCAUAAAAUCUUCGGGACGGAAGUGCUGAAGAUCAAAGGAGUAAUUCGCUUAAGGAGGAGGUCGCGGCUGAUUAGCUAGUUGGCGGGGUAAUGGCCCACCAAGGCAAAGAUCGGUAGCCGGCCUGAGAGGGCGCACGGCCAUACUGGAACUGAAACACGGUCCAGACUCCUACGGGAGGCAGCAGUGGGGAUUUUUGCGCAAUGGGGGAAACCCUGACGCAGCAACGCCGCGUGGAGGAUGUAGUCCCUUGGGACGUAAACUCCUUUCGACCCGGACGAUAAUGACGGUACUGGUGGAAGAAGCCCCGGCUAACUUCGUGCCAGCAGCCGCGGUAAUAAGGU
Molecule: ribosomal RNA, 500 nt
Filed under: uncultured Acidobacteriota bacterium
Lineage: Bacteria; Pseudomonadati; Acidobacteriota
Description: bacterial SSU rRNA
Rfam family: Bacterial small subunit ribosomal RNA
Source: RNAcentral